This 74-nucleotide transfer RNA is filed under the name Dryocopus pileatus. Its description in RNAcentral is "tRNA-Trp". It matches the Rfam family "tRNA". From Rfam's summary of the family: Transfer RNA (tRNA) molecules are approximately 80 nucleotides in length. Lineage: Eukaryota; Metazoa; Chordata; Aves; Piciformes; Picidae. The record is from RNAcentral.
AGAAACUUAGGAUAAUUCACCCAAACCGAAGGCCUUCAAAGCCUUAAAUAAGAGUUAAACCCUCUUAGUUUCUG